UUUUUUCGGCACUCGCUUCCUUCGUCUUAAGUAAAGUUCAGUUUACUUUUUCGAUUCGAAACUCUUAGUCGAGCUGAUGGCGAGAUCGAUUUUUUGUUCGAGGUUCAAGAGGAAGGAGAGGAACCACCGCCCAAUGGUGCUUUUACGAAAGUAUGGACUCCUCCUGUUCGAACCGGGGUUUGAAAUCGAACUCCUCCUCAGGAGGAUAGAUGGGGCGAUUCGGGUGAUG
RNAcentral lists this long non-coding RNA (229 nucleotides) under Solanum melongena (eggplant). Its description in RNAcentral is "long non-coding RNA (SMEL_LNC000127)". The record is from RNAcentral. Lineage: Eukaryota; Viridiplantae; Streptophyta; Magnoliopsida; Solanales; Solanaceae.